GACGAACGCUGGCGGCGUGCCUAAUACAUGCAAGUCGAACGAGAGCGACCGGUGCUUGCACUGGUCAAUCUAGUGGCGCACGGGUGAGUAACACGUGGGUAACCUGCCCAUCAGAGGGGGAUAACAUCCGGAAACGGAUGCUAAAACCGCAUAGGUCUUCGAACCGCAUGGUUUGAAGAGGAAAAGCGGCGCAAGCUUCUGCUGAUGGAUGGACCCGCGGUGCAUUAGCUAGUUGGUGAGGUAACGGCUCACCAAGGCCGUGAUGCAUAGCCGAACUGAGAGGGUGAUCGGCCACAUUGGGACUGAGACACGGCCAAAACUCCUACGGGAGGCAGCAGUAGGGAAUCUGCCGCAAUGGACGCAAGUCUGACGGAGCAACGCCGCGUGAGUGAAGAAGGUGUUCGGAUCGUAAAACUCUGUUGUUAGAGAAGAACAAGUGCUAGAGUAACUGUUAGCGCCUUGACGGUAUCUAACCAGAAAGCCACGGCUAACUACGUG
This 498-nucleotide ribosomal RNA is filed under the name uncultured bacterium. RNAcentral describes it as "partial 16S ribosomal RNA". It matches the Rfam family "Bacterial small subunit ribosomal RNA", at positions 28 to 507 of the family's 1533-position model. The record is from RNAcentral.